UCGCCGCAGUCCAUGGCGUCUGCUAGCUCGUCAAGCAGUCAUCGGUCGCCGCUGUCCAUGGCCUUCUCAGGGCAGUCGCCGGUGCCAUAUCGGGAGCCACCGAUGGCGUACUCGCCUGAGAAGGUGUGCCACUGCAAAGUCAAGGCUCCGAGGUGGAUUUCGUGGAGCAUUGCCAACCCCGGUCGUCGAUACUACAACUGCAGCCAGUCUCUGGGAUAUGACUGUGGCUACUUCAAGUGGCAUGAUGAUCCCCUGGAUAAGUUUGUCAGUACGCUACUAGGUGACCUGCGAGAUGUUGUGAAUCGGCUGAAGACAGGGGUUAGGAAGCUCAAGACCGAGAAAUCACAAUGUGAU
RNAcentral lists this ribosomal RNA (354 nucleotides) under Triticum aestivum (bread wheat). RNAcentral describes it as "partial small subunit ribosomal RNA". Lineage: Eukaryota; Viridiplantae; Streptophyta; Magnoliopsida; Poales; Poaceae. The record is from RNAcentral.